GGGUCAGUAGGUUGGUCGUGCCACCGGUACGUACUGGUCUCACUGAUUCCUCCUUCCUGAAGAACCGUAGUGCCAUUAAUUUGGUGUCGCGGGGAAACAGGACUGUUACUUUGAAAAAAUUAGAGUGUUUAAAGCAAGCUAACGCUUGAAUACAUUAGCAUGGAAUAAUGAAAUAGGACGAUCGAUCCUAUUUUGUUGGUUUCUAGGAUUGACGUA
RNAcentral lists this ribosomal RNA (216 nucleotides) under Glomeromycotina sp. RNAcentral describes it as "partial small subunit ribosomal RNA". The stretch from base 40 to 216 matches the Rfam family "Eukaryotic small subunit ribosomal RNA", at positions 686 to 864 of the family's 1831-position model. The record is from RNAcentral. Lineage: Eukaryota; Fungi; Glomeromycota.